RNAcentral lists this ribosomal RNA (512 nucleotides) under uncultured Gammaproteobacteria bacterium. Its description in RNAcentral is "bacterial SSU rRNA". It matches the Rfam family "Bacterial small subunit ribosomal RNA", at positions 8 to 515 of the family's 1533-position model. The record is from RNAcentral. Lineage: Bacteria; Pseudomonadati; Pseudomonadota; Gammaproteobacteria.
AGAGUUUGAUCCUGGCUCAGAUUGAACGCUGGCGGCAGGCCUAACACAUGCAAGUCGAGCGGUAGAGAGAAGCUUGCUUCUCUUGAGAGCGGCGGACGGGUGAGUAAAGCCUAGGAAUCUGCCUGGUAGUGGGGGAUAACGUUCGGAAACGGACGCUAAUACCGCAUACGUCCUACGGGAGAAAGCAGGGGACCUUCGGGCCUUGCGCUAUCAGAUGAGCCUAGGUCGGAUUAGCUAGUUGGUGAGGUAAUGGCUCACCAAGGCGACGAUCCGUAACUGGUCUGAGAGGAUGAUCAGUCACACUGGAACUGAGACACGGUCCAGACUCCUACGGGAGGCAGCAGUGGGGAAUAUUGGACAAUGGGCGAAAGCCUGAUCCAGCCAUGCCGCGUGUGUGAAGAAGGUCUUCGGAUUGUAAAGCACUUUAAGUUGGGAGGAAGGGCAUUAACCUAAUACGUUAGUGUUUUGACGUUACCAACAGAAUAAGCACCGGCUAACUCUGUGCCAGCAGC